RNAcentral lists this long non-coding RNA (1004 nucleotides) under Papio anubis (olive baboon). RNAcentral's name for it is "lncRNA (ENSPANG00000040221.1)". The record is from RNAcentral. Lineage: Eukaryota; Metazoa; Chordata; Mammalia; Primates; Cercopithecidae.
AGAUCAACUGAGCUCAGGAAUUCAAGGCUGCUGUGAGCCAUUAUUGCACCUCUGCAAUUCAGCCUGGACAACGAAGUGACUCCUUCUCUCAAAAAAAAAAAAAAAAUUAUAUAACACAGUAUCUAUCUUCAAAGAGUUGGGAAGACAGAACUAAAUGAAACCAUUGCAGAAGAAAUAAACACUAAGCAAUAAUGUGCAGGAUGGAAACCAAAAAGAAAUUAGAAGAAAGAAUGUUCAAUACAGGCCGGGUGCGGUGGCUCACACCUGUAAUCCCAGCACCUUAGGAGCCUGAGGCGGGCAGAUAACGAGGUCAGGAGUUUGAGACCAGCCUGACCAACAUGGUGAAAACCCGUCUCUACUAAAAAUACAAAAAUUAGCCAGGUGUGGUGGCGCACACCUGUAAUCCCAGUUACUCAGGAGGCUGAGGCAGGAGAAUCACUUGAACCUGGGAGGCGGAGGUUGCAGUGAGCCAAAAUUGUGCCACUGCACUCCAGCCUGGGUGACAGAGUGAGACUCGUCUAUUUAAAAAAAAAAAAAACGUUCAAUAUGAGCUGGAGAGGACUGUAUGAAUGGAGACUUGAGUUUGGCUCUCAAGGCAAAUAGGAAUUUGUUAGAUUGGCUAAGUUGCAGGAGCAAAUUUAGAGGUAGGAAUGAGCUAGAUGUUGCUGGGGACAGUGACUAGGUAAUGGGUGGAAAAAGGGUUUCAUUUUAAGUGCCAACUCUAGUCAUUUUUUGGUGUUGUCUGGGGCAUCAUAUUGGGAAGUAUUCAGAGACUCAGCAGGCCUCAGCAGGUGAUGAGAAAGGCAUGAGAACGAGCUGGAAGGAGAAUGAGGCACCGAGAGGCCCAAGCUGAAAGAAAUAAAGACUUCCAGUACAUCACCCUGACAGUAAAGAGCGAAGGAAAAGUGACGUCUGCUUCAAGACUAGUAAGGAAAUGGAAAUGUCAGAACACAGUAGCUGGGUUGCUAAGGUGUGUGGAACAAAAUAAGACAUCUACGCAUUGA